GCGUAAUAGCUCACUGGUCUAGUGAUUUUGCGCGGAAAAUAUAACGGGGCUAAAAUAAGUACCGAAGUCGUAGGCUUGAUUUAUCAAGCGGUAGGAGAGCGUUGCAUUCAGCGUUGAAGGUGUACCGGUAAGGAGCGCUGGAGCGGAUCGAAGUGAGCAUGCAGGCAUGAGUAGCGAUAAUUAAUGUGAGAAUCAUUAACGCCGUAAACCCAAGGUUUCCUACGCGAUGCUCGUCAUCGUAGGGUUAGUCGGGUCCUAANCAAAGUCCGAAANGGUAUGCGAUGGAAAAUUGGUUAAUAUUCCAAUACCUUUGAUUAUGUGCGAUGGAAGGACGCUUAAAGCUAGUGGGGCUAACUGAUGGAAUAGUUAGUCUAAGGAUGUAGGUUGAGUUAUAGGCAAAUCCGUAACUCUUUAUCUGAAAUCUUAAAGGCUUACAAAACUCUUCGGAGUAGCGUAAGAACCCAUGAUGCUAUCGAGCCAAGAAAAGUUUCUAAGUUUAGUAAUCAAAGCCCGUACCGUAAACCGACACAGGUGGGUGGGAUGAGUAUUCUAAGGCGCGUGGAAGAACUCUCUUUAGGGAACUCUGCAAAAUAGCACCGUAUCUUCGGUAUAAGGUGUGCCUACCAGGGUGUUAAAGCCCUAGUGGUUACAACAAAGAGUCCCUCCCGACUGUUUACCAAAAACACAGCACUCUGCUAACACGUAAGUGGAUGUAUAGGGUGUGACGCCUGCCCGGUGCUCGAAGGUUAAUUGAUGGGGUUAGCAUUAGCGAAGCUCUUG
Molecule: ribosomal RNA, 780 nt
Filed under: Campylobacter sputorum
Lineage: Bacteria; Pseudomonadati; Campylobacterota; Epsilonproteobacteria; Campylobacterales; Campylobacteraceae
Description: bacterial LSU rRNA
Rfam family: Bacterial large subunit ribosomal RNA
Source: RNAcentral